UACAAGCUCAAGUUCUAAGCCCUUGAGCCAGAAUUCAAGGCGCCCCCAUCUGCCCCACUCCAAUUCCCAACUGCCCUCUUUCCACCCGCCCUACAAACUGUUCCAACUGCCCAGCCAGUUCCCAGCCUUCCGAAGACGCCUUGCAGUCUCCCUCUCCUGGUACCCAGAGCACAACCCAGCUCUCCCUACACAAGCUCAUCUUUCUGGGAAGCUGUUCCCUUCUUGGAUUGAUGGAUUCUAUCAGGGGCAGGCUGUGACUUUUUGUCAUCAUAGACAAAAAACACACACACAGAGAAAAUGGCUGCAGUGAUGGCAGCCUCCUACAGGCCAUCAGCAUAGGGGUCUAAUGCAGAAGAAGAGAGAAAAACUAUGGAAAG
Long non-coding RNA from Heterocephalus glaber (naked mole-rat), 377 nucleotides. The record is from Ensembl. Lineage: Eukaryota; Metazoa; Chordata; Mammalia; Rodentia; Bathyergidae.